Molecule: non-coding RNA, 100 nt
Submitted as: unclassified sequences
Source: Rfam
AGUAUUACUGUGAGAAUCAGUAAUAAGCAUGUGGGGCUUAUGUCUUAUCAAAAGGGUGGCCAACUUUUAGAUAGCAUUAGUGCGGACGUUAAAAUCAUGC